AGCGCUAUAUUUAAACCAAUGGGAUGGACCUUUUCCCCCAUUUCUAGGUUAUGCUGUAGUGCUAAAGAAUUUCCCUGGGCUCUUCUUCCCCACACACAGCUGACUGCCAUUUGGCUGUUGCUUUGUGGAGUGAAGGAACACAG
Molecule: small nucleolar RNA, 143 nt
Filed under: Echinops telfairi (small Madagascar hedgehog)
Lineage: Eukaryota; Metazoa; Chordata; Mammalia; Afrosoricida; Tenrecidae
Description: Small nucleolar RNA SNORA46 (ENSETEG00000022698.1)
Rfam family: Small nucleolar RNA SNORA46
About the family: ACA46 is a member of the H/ACA class of snoRNA that guide the sites of modification of uridines to pseudouridines.
Source: RNAcentral